This 255-nucleotide ribosomal RNA is filed under the name uncultured bacterium. RNAcentral describes it as "partial 16S ribosomal RNA". It matches the Rfam family "Bacterial small subunit ribosomal RNA", at positions 555 to 810 of the family's 1533-position model. The record is from RNAcentral.
UGGGCGUAAGCGUGCGCAGGCGGUUAUGUAAGACAGAUGUGAAAUCCCCGGGCUCAACCUGGGAACUGCAUUUGAGACUGCAUGGCUAGAGUGUGGCAGAGGGGGGUGGAAUUCCACGUGUAGCAGUGAAAUGCGUAGAUAUGUGGAGGAACACCGAUGGCGAAGGCAACCCCCUGGGCUAAUACUGACGCUCAUGCACGAAAGCGUGGGGAGCAAACAGGAUUAGAUACCCUGGUAGUCCACGCCCUAAACGAU